UUAAGAGUUUUUGGUUUUUGUUUUUUAAAGUGUUUUUUUUUUUGUGUUUUUCUU
RNAcentral lists this small RNA (54 nucleotides) under Arabidopsis thaliana (thale cress). Its description in RNAcentral is "ATSL103650". The record is from RNAcentral. Lineage: Eukaryota; Viridiplantae; Streptophyta; Magnoliopsida; Brassicales; Brassicaceae.